GGGCUAGUGGCGCAAUGGAUAACGCGUCUGACUACGCAUCAGAAGAUUCCAGGUUCGACUCCUGGCUAGCUAG
Molecule: transfer RNA, 73 nt
Filed under: Gadus morhua (Atlantic cod)
Lineage: Eukaryota; Metazoa; Chordata; Actinopteri; Gadiformes; Gadidae
Description: tRNA-Arg (ACG) (tRNA-Arg-ACG-14-1)
Rfam family: tRNA
About the family: Transfer RNA (tRNA) molecules are approximately 80 nucleotides in length. Their secondary structure includes four short double-helical elements and three loops (D, anti-codon, and T loops). Further hydrogen bonds mediate the characteristic L-shaped molecular structure. tRNAs have two regions of fundamental functional importance: the anti-codon, which is responsible for specific mRNA codon recognition, and the 3' end, to which the tRNAs corresponding amino acid is attached (by aminoacyl-tRNA synthetases). tRNAs cope with the degeneracy of the genetic code in two manners: having more than one tRNA (with a specific anti-codon) for a particular amino acid; and 'wobble' base-pairing, i.e. permitting non-standard base-pairing at the 3rd anti-codon position.
Source: Rfam by way of RNAcentral